Molecule: transfer RNA, 74 nt
Filed under: Planctomycetota bacterium
Lineage: Bacteria; Pseudomonadati; Planctomycetota
Description: tRNA-Val
Rfam family: tRNA
About the family: Transfer RNA (tRNA) molecules are approximately 80 nucleotides in length. Their secondary structure includes four short double-helical elements and three loops (D, anti-codon, and T loops).
Source: RNAcentral
GGGCAAAUAGCUCAGUCGGUUAGAGCACCUCGUUUACACCGAGGGGGUCGGGGGUUCGAGCCCCUCUUUGCCCA